UUAAGUUCAGCGGGUAUCCCUACCUGAUCCGAGGUCAAAAGUGAAAAAGGCUUGUGGAAGCUGGUGUAUAGCCUUGAAUCGCGACUUGUGCUGCGCUUCAAAACCAAACACUGGCUGCCAAUUACUUUAAGGCGAGUCCCUCAGGACAAACACCCAACACCAAGCAAAGCUUGAAGGUACAAAUGACGCUCGAACAGGCA
RNAcentral lists this unclassified non-coding RNA (200 nucleotides) under Paraphoma sp. Its description in RNAcentral is "partial internal transcribed spacer 2". The record is from RNAcentral. Lineage: Eukaryota; Fungi; Ascomycota; Dothideomycetes; Pleosporales; Phaeosphaeriaceae.